RNAcentral lists this ribosomal RNA (253 nucleotides) under uncultured bacterium. RNAcentral describes it as "partial 16S ribosomal RNA". It matches the Rfam family "Bacterial small subunit ribosomal RNA", at positions 524 to 776 of the family's 1533-position model. The record is from RNAcentral.
UACGGGGGGGGCAAGCGUUGUUCGGAAUUACUGGGCGUAAAGGGCUUGUAGGUGGCCAACUAAGUCAGACGUGAAAUCCCUCGGCUUAACCGGGGAACUGCGUCUGAUACUGGAUGGCUUGAGUUUGGGAGAGGGAUGCGGAAUUCCAGGUGUAGCGGUGAAAUGCGUAGAUAUCGUGAGGAAGACCAGUGGCGAAGGCGGAUCUCUGGACAGUUCCUGACGCUGAGGCGCGAAGGCCAGGGGAGCAAACGGG